CGCGACCCCAGGUCAGGCGGGANUAC
RNAcentral lists this ribosomal RNA (26 nucleotides) under Quercus sinuata. Its description in RNAcentral is "partial 26S ribosomal RNA". Lineage: Eukaryota; Viridiplantae; Streptophyta; Magnoliopsida; Fagales; Fagaceae. The record is from RNAcentral.